RNAcentral lists this transfer RNA (89 nucleotides) under Buchnera aphidicola (Anoecia oenotherae). It matches the Rfam family "tRNA". From Rfam's summary of the family: Transfer RNA (tRNA) molecules are approximately 80 nucleotides in length. Their secondary structure includes four short double-helical elements and three loops (D, anti-codon, and T loops). Further hydrogen bonds mediate the characteristic L-shaped molecular structure. tRNAs have two regions of fundamental functional importance: the anti-codon, which is responsible for specific mRNA codon recognition, and the 3' end, to which the tRNAs corresponding amino acid is attached (by aminoacyl-tRNA synthetases). tRNAs cope with the degeneracy of the genetic code in two manners: having more than one tRNA (with a specific anti-codon) for a particular amino acid; and 'wobble' base-pairing, i.e. permitting non-standard base-pairing at the 3rd anti-codon position. Lineage: Bacteria; Pseudomonadati; Pseudomonadota; Gammaproteobacteria; Enterobacterales; Erwiniaceae. The record is from Rfam by way of RNAcentral.
GGUGAGAUGGCCGAGAGGCUGAAGGCGUUCCCCUGCUAAGGGAAUAUAUAGAUAAAUCUGUAUCGAGGGUUCGAAUCCCUCUCUCACCG